GCAUUAAUGGGGUAGUGGUAACCUGGGUCGUUGCCAUUCUACCUGAUAUCGACCCGCCGGGGGUUCGAUUCCCUCUUAAUGCA
Arthromyces matolae is the source of this 83-nucleotide non-coding RNA. The record is from the annotation of a GenBank genome assembly. NCBI's taxonomy places the organism in Eukaryota, Fungi, Basidiomycota, Agaricomycetes, Agaricales, Lyophyllaceae.